Long non-coding RNA from Capra hircus (goat), 3607 nucleotides. Lineage: Eukaryota; Metazoa; Chordata; Mammalia; Artiodactyla; Bovidae. The record is from Ensembl.
AUGGAGCGGGGGGGGCGAGCGGGGGCUGCAGGGUCCAGCUCCCGGGAGAUAGGGGUCAUUCCACCUGUCGCCGGGCACGCGCCGGCCGCACGGGGGCGCCAGCGGACAGGCCCCCGCAGAACGCGCCCGGCCGGGCGAGCGGCGGUCAGUCCCGGGAGGUGGCGCUCGCGAGGCGGGGAAGGGCGGCGAGGGGCUGUGUGGUCCGUGGAAAAUCCCCACGGCCCGCCCCGCGCGGGACCCGCUGUAACCUCGGCCCCGGCGGCCAGGCGGGGUGGGGUCUUCGCCAGGGCUCAAGAUCCUCCUGGGAUGCGCAGUGGGGCUUGGGGAGUGAAAAGCACUCUCGAGGGUGCGUGGGGCAGGAGCACCGGGGUCGUACAGGCGGGCGUGGAGGGGCGCGGGCGCCAUCAGAGCGGGGUCGCAUCCUUCCUACCAAGGCCGGACCUAACGUCGUGUUCCUCAGGCUGUGCAGUCACUGAGGGCAUGGGCACCCCUAACCCCUCCCCAACCCUCAGCCUCGCAUCCUUCCAUUAUCUGCUAGGGGCUGGAGAGGGGGUGAAUGCGGCACCCAGGUCCUUCUGUCCCACCUGCGCCCCCUGCCUAUUCCUCCGGCUGGCUGGAUCUCUGGCAGUCCCAGCAGCAACACGGAGCAGACGGGGCGAGUUGAGCUGGGAUGGGGGUGGAGGUACGGACGCCAGGCGUCUCUCCGCCCCCCUGUGUCACCUCCUCUUGCUGGAGUCAGGGCCACUCGCGGACUGCCAUCUCCCCGCCCAGGGAACGAAGAACGCGAGCACAGGGACUGGGUACCGGUGGCCGACGGGUCAGUGCCCGGGGCUGGCCCAGGACCAACGCUGCCCCAACCCCCGCGCAGCUAGUUGCCUAGCAGGGCCCUACCCGGAGCCAGCGCCUCCGAGGCCCGACGGGAGCCCUUUCCCCUGUGGGCGACCACCGCUGCGGCCAGCAGGGACGGUCCAAUGCAGGCUCCGUGUGAGUAGGAGCCGAGAUUCUUACCUGUCCAGGUGUCUGCCUGGCCUGGAAGCCACCGAGACCAAAUGUGGGGCAGCUCCAUGCAUGGUGGUCCAUGCGUGGGGGUCCCUGACGAUCUCACAUGCACUCACCGGAGCUCUGUCCCAGGCUUGUCUGCUGGGGGUAAGGGGGCAGAUGAUGGAAACAGCUGCUCAAGGGACUCCACAAUGUGAGGUCAGGAGUGGGCAGAAAACGAGAAAACGAGGCAGAGGGCAGCAGGUGGGAAACUGUCAGGGAAGCCCCCCAGCAGCUGACCUGUGGGCAUCACCCUUCUGAUGGGAGGCAGCUGAGGAAAGGCCUGGAGAAUGGGCUGAGCAGGCGGCUAUGAGGCGGAGAGUGCUAAGGGUGGACAGCAGGCCGCCAUCAGGAACUCACAUUUUUUUUUUUCCUUUGGCAGUGGAAAGCCUGAAUGAUAAUACGGAUAAUCGCCCAGAGAAUCUAUGCUGGAAAGUAGAUUUAAAACUUACUAAAUUUAAAUUGCAAUUUUACUACAAUUAUAUGUGUCUAUAUAUCUUUAUGUAUAUUUUAAAUGCAUUCAGCUGUAGUCUAAGCACAGAGUGAGGCAGGGCUGAUCCUCCCCAGGUCCAGCUCAGAGGAGCCUCAGAAGCCACUUGCUCUGAGAAUGAGCCACAACUUUCCCAAAGAAACAGGUGGAAGGAGCUUUAGUCCCCAGGUCAGCCCAGCCAGGGGCUUUUAAACCUUAACCUACAACCUGAAGUUCUAAGAGAACUAGUUUGGGACAUUGUUUCUUUGGAAAAUACAGCCUUGGUCCCAUUAGGGGCACUGGGGAAAAUAACUGCUAUUACUGCCCCCUCACCCCCGCAUUCAGGUGGGUCCUGGGCCAAUGUUGAAGGGAGUCUGGCCUCACCUUCUGACCUGGCUCAAGAUUUCCCACAGACACUGAGUGGAAUCGCUGCCUGUGAUGUUUGUCUGGCUUAUCUGCACUGAGCCUCCACCUCCCUGGGUCUAGCUUUACAGAUGAAGAAUAGAGGCCCAGGCAGCCAGGAGAUGUCAAAGCUCUGCUUGGUGUAGGGAGGGGAGCCUGGACCCCAAGCCCUGACCACUGUCUAACCUAUAUAACAUCCAGGACUUCAUUCUCUGGAUGUACCGUGUGGUGGAGUGGAGCAGAGUUAAACGAGGUUCCAGAGUGAGUCGUACAGGCUGCAGAGAAGACAACAAAUGAGGGUAUGUUCUGUGUUACCUGCUGUGUAAAAAGGAGGGAGAGAACCUGCAUUUGUGUCCACUUAGCUUCUGAUACAUGCAUAUGCUCAUCUUUGCAGAAAAACAGGAGGGCCACUGUGGAACUGGAAGAUUACUUCCUAUGUGGGUGACAGUCAGAGUGAUGAAGAGGGAGUGACCCUUUUCUGGCUAUGGGUCAUUUUAUAUGUAUAACUUUUGAAUCAAAUAAUAUUUAACUCAAAUGAAUAUUCUCCAUAAUCAAAUUAUUAAAUAGAGAAAGAAUGAAAAAGACCCUAAAAUUCAGUCAUAAAUGAUUUUUUGAUUCCUUUAUUGUAUAUCAAAUCAACAUAACCACGCAGAAAAAAAGAGAAUUCAAACAGCUUUGAACACCAUAUUCUGAAUUUCAGUGUGAUAUAUUCUGAGGACAAAAAUAAUUACAAAGAGAUCUUGAGAUUUCCUUAGUAGGUUUGGUUAGUAGCAGGAUUGUUAUAGUAAUUCCAAAGCUAUUUGGAGGGCAUUUUGGAACAGAGUAAAUUAAUAAAUAUGUUGAUGCUGCUGAAAAAGGGUUCUUACUGUCGAUAAGGGUUUAUUUGGUUGUGCCUUUUUUUUUUUGUAUAUUGAAAAUGGUUUAAUAUUUACAAAUGCAUACAGUUCAGUUCAGUAGCUCAGUCGUGUCUGACUCUUUGCGACCCCAUGGACCGCAGCACGCCAGGCCUCCCUGUCCAUCACUAACUCCUGGAGUCCACCCAAACCCAUGUCCAUUGAGUCGGUGAUGCCAUCCAACCAUCUCAUCCUCUGUCAUCCCCUUCUCCUCCUGCAUCAGGGUCUUUUCAAAUGGGUCAGCUCUUCGCAUCAGGUGGCCAAAGUAUUGGAGUUUCAGCUUCAACUUCAGUCCUUCCAAUGAACACUCAGAACUGAUCUUCUUUAGGAUGGACUGGUUGGAUCCCCUUGCAGUUCAGGGGAUUCUCAAGAAUCUUCUCCAACACCACAGUUCAAAAGCAUCAAUUCUUCUGUGCUCAGCUUUCUUUACAGUCCAACUCUCACAUCCAUACAUGACUACUGAAAAAAAACAUAGCCUUGACUAGGUGGACCUUUGUUGGUAAAGUAAUGUCUCUGCUUUUUAAUAUGCUGUCUAGGUUGGUCAUAACUUUCCUUCCAAGGAGCAAGUGUCUUUUAAUUUCAUGGCUGCAGUCACCAUCUGCAGUGAUUGUGGAGCCCCCCAAAAUAAAAUAAGUCACUGUUUCCAUUGUUUCCCGUCUAUUUGCCAUGAGGUGAUGGGACCAGAUGCCAUGAUCUUAGUUUUCUGAAUGUUGAGCUUUGAGCCAACUUUUUCACUCUCUUUCACUUUCAUCAAGAGGCUCUUUAGUUCUUUUUCACUUUCUGCCAUUAGGGUGGUGUCAUCUGC